This 148-nucleotide small RNA is filed under the name Pongo abelii (Sumatran orangutan). RNAcentral describes it as "Metazoan signal recognition particle RNA (ENSPPYG00000033488.1)". The record is from Rfam by way of RNAcentral. Lineage: Eukaryota; Metazoa; Chordata; Mammalia; Primates; Hominidae.
GCCGGGCGUGGUGGUGGGCGCCUGUAGUCCCAGCUACUGAGGAGGCUGAGACAGGAGAAUCGCUUGAACCCGGGAGGCGGAGGUUGCAGUGAGCCAAGAUCGUGCCACUGCACUCCAGCCUGGGUGACAGAGCGAGACUCCGUCUCAA